RNAcentral lists this unclassified non-coding RNA (168 nucleotides) under uncultured fungus. RNAcentral's name for it is "sequence contains ITS1". Lineage: Eukaryota; Fungi. The record is from RNAcentral.
UUGAUUUAUUUAAUCGUGUUACUCAGAAGAUACUGUAUAAAACAAGAGUUUGGGGGUCCUCUGGCGGGCCGCCGGAGCGGGCACCGCCGAGGCAACGAUAGGUAUGUUCACAGGGGUUUGGGAGUUGUAAACUCGGUAAUGAUCCUUCCGCAGGUUCACCUACGGAAA